GCCCAGUGGUCUAAUGGUAAGACACCGUACCGCUAUUAUGGCGAUACGGAUUCGAGCCCUGGCUGGAGCA
Exocentrus adspersus is the source of this 70-nucleotide non-coding RNA. NCBI's taxonomy places the organism in Eukaryota, Metazoa, Arthropoda, Insecta, Coleoptera, Cerambycidae. The record is from the annotation of a GenBank genome assembly.